GACGAACGCUGGCGGCAUGCCUUACACAUGCAAGUCGAACGGCAGCACGGGGCGAACCCUGGUGGGCGAGUGGCGGACGGGUGAGUAAUGCAUCGGAACGUGCCCUGAAGUGGGGGAGUAACGCAGCGAAAGCUACGCUAAUACCGCAUAUUCUGUGAGCAGGAAAGCAGGGGAGUCGCAAGACCUUGCGCUUUGGGAGCGGCCGAUGUCGGAUUAGCUAGUUGGUGGGGUAAAGGCCUACCAAGGCGACGAUCCGUAGCGGGUCUGAGAGGAUGAUCCGCCACACUGGGACUGAGACACGGCCCAGACUCCUACGGGAGGCAGCAGUGGGGAAUUUUGGACAAUGGGCGGAAGCCUGAUCCAGCCAUGCCGCGUGAGUGAAGAAGGCCUUCGGUUGGUUAAACCUACUUUCUAGCA
RNAcentral lists this ribosomal RNA (417 nucleotides) under uncultured bacterium. RNAcentral describes it as "bacterial SSU rRNA". It matches the Rfam family "Bacterial small subunit ribosomal RNA", at positions 28 to 444 of the family's 1533-position model. The record is from RNAcentral.